GCGGUGGUAGCGUAGUGGUUAAGGAGCUGGGUUAGCAAGCCAGAAAAGAUGUUGGUUCGAUUCCUGGCUUCCGCC
RNAcentral lists this transfer RNA (75 nucleotides) under Alosa alosa (allis shad). Its description in RNAcentral is "tRNA-OTHER". The record is from RNAcentral. Lineage: Eukaryota; Metazoa; Chordata; Actinopteri; Clupeiformes; Clupeidae.